GGGGGUAUAGCUCAGCUGGUAGAGCGCCUGCUUUGCAAGCAGGAGGCCGUCGGUUCGAGUCCGACUACCUCCACCA
This 76-nucleotide transfer RNA is filed under the name Armatimonadota bacterium. RNAcentral describes it as "Armatimonadetes bacterium (sediment metagenome) tRNA-Ala". It matches the Rfam family "tRNA". Rfam says of the family: Transfer RNA (tRNA) molecules are approximately 80 nucleotides in length. The record is from RNAcentral. Lineage: Bacteria; Bacillati; Armatimonadota.